This 491-nucleotide ribosomal RNA is filed under the name uncultured bacterium. RNAcentral's name for it is "bacterial SSU rRNA". It matches the Rfam family "Bacterial small subunit ribosomal RNA", at positions 28 to 508 of the family's 1533-position model. The record is from RNAcentral.
GACGAACGCUGGCGGCGUGCCUAAUACAUGCAAGUCGAACGGGAAUUUUGAAGAGCUUGCUCUUUAAAAUUCUAGUGGCGGAUGGGUGAGUAACACGUAGGCAACCUACCUGUAAGACUGGGAUAACUCCGGGAAACCGGAGCUAAUACCGGAUAGUACAGAAGACCUCCUGGUCUUCUGCGGAAAGGACACGAUCCACUUACAGAUGGGCCUGCGGCGCAUUAGCUAGUUGGUAGGGUAAUGGCCUACCAAGGCAACGAUGCGUAGCCGACCUGAGAGGGUGAACGGCCACACUGGGACUGAGACACGGCCCAGACUCCUACGGGAGGCAGCAGUAGGGAAUCUUCCGCAAUGGACGAAAGUCUGACGGAGCAACGCCGCGUGAGUGAUGAAUGUCUUCGGAUUGUAAAACUCUGUUGUCAGGGAAGAACACCUGGGAUGGACUCCCAGCUUGACGGUACCUGACGAGAAAGCCCCGGCUAACUACGUGC